GUUAAUUAGAUGAACCAUAAGGUUAUGUCUCUCCUGAACAUUGAUUUAAUCAGAUAUUAAUGCUUGUUUUCCUCUCUACAUGGACUUUCAAGUUUGGCUAUUCUGUUACAUUC
Arabis alpina (gray rockcress) is the source of this 113-nucleotide small nucleolar RNA. The record is from Rfam. Lineage: Eukaryota; Viridiplantae; Streptophyta; Magnoliopsida; Brassicales; Brassicaceae.